This is a long non-coding RNA of Magnolia sinica, 933 nucleotides long. RefSeq lists it as uncharacterized. Lineage: Eukaryota; Viridiplantae; Streptophyta; Magnoliopsida; Magnoliales; Magnoliaceae. The transcript is spliced from 2 exons. The record is from RefSeq and is a predicted model, not a curated record.
GAAAAAAAAGAGCCUUGAUGGCAACUGUCAAAAUCCUACUCAAGUAUGGCAUGCGUGAGAUCUGGGUCGUCCAUACGCUAGGCCUUGCAUAUAUGUUCUGCGGUCCCAAAGUAGGUAGGUCCAUUCUCAGGCAAUGCACAUAUACAGAAAUUGAUGGUCUAAAAUAUUGAGCUAUGGUUCAUAUUUGGUCUACACAUUGCCCACAUGAUGUUUGGGCCCCGGAACAUUCAGUUGGAUUUGCUGAUGAACGGCCUUGAUCAUGCACACAUGCCACAUCUGCACCUAUCAUGAUAGAAAGGUCCUGGCAACUAGAGUGCGCUCAGCUGCUGCUUACGAUCUGAAGCUGGAAACAAAUGUCGUAUUCUACAUGCUGCACUCCAUCUCUACUAAAAUCUAAAGACAAAAGGCUCGGAGUUGAGCAUCCCCUGUCCAUGGCUGCGCCCAUCAGAUCAACGGCCAGGAUCGCUGUACCAUGGGCCUCUGCAAACUACACACUACUCAUGGAAGUAGUCCCAGAAUUUCAGAUUGGUGGACACUCAUUGGACGAUUAAAAAUGAAAAAUAUAGAUCAAGAUUAAAGGAUCAACUGCUGGAUAGAUACCUCUAACAGCUAAUCCUCUUGUGAGUACGGCAGCAACCUCUAAAUGUGCAGAUGUCAUGGCAGGAGCAGGUUGAUCAAACCGUCUGCAGGUACAUAGACUUCCAUUCAUGAAAGGAAGUUAUAGAUCCCUCUUUGGUAGAAGUAAUUCUUUCUUGCAAAGACUCGUUUCUUUACCAAUGGGUAAGUUGAUAACCCAACACAACAGAAGGCAUUGUAAGCGCCUGCGCAUGAAGUGUCAUAUGCAGCCAGAGUAUCAAAUAACUCCCUGUUGAUUAGAUUCACAAUUGCAAUUUAUUAGGGUAAUAAUAGCAUCCAAAUGCAAUUGAAAUCUUA